CUACGGGUUGCUCCAGUGGGGAAUAUUGCACAAUGGGCGCAAGCCUGAUGCAGCCAUGCCGCGUGUAUGAAGAAGGCCUUCGGGUUGUAAAGUACUUUCAGCGAGGAGGAAAGGGUGCAAGUUAAUACCUUGUAUCUGUGACGUUACUCGCAGAAGAAGCACCGGCUAACUCCGUGCCAGCAGCCGCGGUAAUACGGAGGGUGCGAGCGUUAAUCGGAAUUACUGGGCGUAAAGCGCGCGUAGGCGGUUAAUUAAGUCAGAUGUGAAAGCCCAGGGCUCAACCUUGGAACUGCAUUUGAAACUGGUUAACUAGAGUUUUGUAGAGGGUGGUAGAAUUUCAGGUGUAGCGGUGAAAUGCGUAGAGAUCUGAAGGAAUACCAGUGGCGAAGGCGGCCACCUGGACAAAGACCGACGCUGAGGCGCGAAGGCGUGGGGAGCAAACGGGAUUAGAUACCCCCGUAGUC
This 464-nucleotide ribosomal RNA is filed under the name uncultured bacterium. RNAcentral's name for it is "partial 16S ribosomal RNA". It matches the Rfam family "Bacterial small subunit ribosomal RNA", at positions 339 to 795 of the family's 1533-position model. The record is from RNAcentral.